ACCCGCACAAGCGGUGGAUGAUGUGGAUUAAUUCGAUGCAACGCGAAAACCUUACCUACCCUUGACAUGUCUGGAACCUUGCUGAGAGGCGAGGGUGCCUUCGGGAGCCAGAACACAGGUGCUGCAUGGCUGUCGUCAGCUCGUGUCGUGAGAUGUUGGGUUAAGUCCCGCAACGAGCGCAACCCUUGUCAUUAGUUGCCAUCAUUUAGUUGGGCACUCUAAUGAGACUGCCGGUGACAAACCGGAGGAAGGUGGGGAUGACGUCAAGUCCUCAUGGCCCUUAUGGGUAGGGCUUCACACGUCAUACAAUGGUCGGUACAGAGGGUUGCCAAGCCGCGAGGUGGAGCCAAUCCCUUAAAGCCGAUCGUAGUCCGGAUCGUAGUCUGCAACUCGACUACGUGAAGUCGGAAUCGCUAGUAAUCGCGGAUCAGCAUGCCGCGGUCGAAUACGUUCCCGGGCCUU
This 462-nucleotide ribosomal RNA is filed under the name uncultured Thauera sp. RNAcentral describes it as "bacterial SSU rRNA". It matches the Rfam family "Bacterial small subunit ribosomal RNA", at positions 919 to 1382 of the family's 1533-position model. Lineage: Bacteria; Pseudomonadati; Pseudomonadota; Betaproteobacteria; Rhodocyclales; Zoogloeaceae. The record is from RNAcentral.